AAUGAACGCUGGCGGCAGGCCUAAAACAUGCAAGUCGAACGCUGUAGCAAUACAGAGUGGCGCACGGGUGAGUAACGUGUGGGAAUAUGCCUUUUGGUACGGAACAACUUUUGGAAACGAAAGCUAAUACCGUAUGGUCCCUUCGGGAUAAAGAUUUAUCGCCAAAAGAUUAGCCCGCAUUAGAUUAGCUAGUUGGUGUG
Molecule: ribosomal RNA, 200 nt
Filed under: uncultured bacterium
Lineage: Bacteria
Description: partial 16S ribosomal RNA
Rfam family: Bacterial small subunit ribosomal RNA
Source: RNAcentral